CUUAUUGUAAUGUAAUUAUAAAAUUGUAACAUGUUGUAAUUUAUAGUUAAGCUUGUGUAAGCCCUCUGUACAAUCAUACAUUUUCAAUCAACUUUGCUGGAUUGUCCUUUUUUCUCCACAAAGACCUUGAGCAUGCAAAAACAUUCAUCAUGGACGAAUGACUCCCAAGCAGACUCAAGGCACGCCACCCCUACAACAUGGCAGCACAAGAGAUGCUCAAUUCCAUCCCUGAAGACAUCUCCAGAGAUGCCUGGCUGGCAGCAGCUUGGAAGCAGGAGUGGGAGGCAGCUGGCCCCUCCCUCAUGCACAGUUAUGUCUGGGAACCAGGAGACGGCGCCAUAGGAGGAGACGAACUACCUCGCCAGCAGUGGACCACACUGAACCGCUUAAGAACUGGUGUUGGGCGCUUCAACAUGUCUAGUGGGGUCUGGCGGACAGUGCGGCAUGCGAGUGCGGAGCCCUCGAGCAGACAGCCGACCACACCAUCAACACCUACACCAACAUAUAGACCACCCUCAGAGGCCGGCCUCUUCGACCUGGGACCAGAGAUGCUGGCGUGGCUCCACGACACCAAGUUGGAGCGCUGACGUUACACGAGAGAGAGAGAGAGAGAGAGAGAGAGAGAGAGAGAGAGAGAGAGCGAGAGAGAGAGAGAGAGAGCGAGAGAGAGAGAGAGAGAGAGAGAGAGAGAGAGAGAGAGAGAGAGAGAGAGAGAGAGAGAGAGAGAGAGAGAGACUCCCAAACCAGGGUGGCAAGAAGCAGGACUUCUCAUUCCUCUCACAGGGAGAGCCAAGACUUUCCAAAAGACCUGUACAACGGAGGCCAGCAUCAUGAAACACAAACUCCCAAACCAGCAUGGUAACAUGAAACACAAACUCCCAAACCAGCAUGGUAACACACAGGACUUCUUCUGAUUCUUCUUAUGUUCUUGGGUCUUGCCUGUGGUUCUACACGCAUCCAGAAAUGCAGACAAAGAACAGCUUGGCCUUUAACAGUCGGAAGCCUCUGAUUUUACUCUACUAAGCCUCAGAUACAGUCUGUUUUCUGUUCUCAUUCAGUCAUUC
Long non-coding RNA from Syngnathus typhle (broad-nosed pipefish), 1064 nucleotides. RefSeq lists it as uncharacterized. The transcript has 3 exons. The record is from RefSeq and is a predicted model, not a curated record. Lineage: Eukaryota; Metazoa; Chordata; Actinopteri; Syngnathiformes; Syngnathidae.